UGAUAGAGGUGCGGUCGCCAUCAGUAGCUUAGUAAAACGCCGGGAAGCGUUAAGCGAAAGGGGUCUCCGCCGAAGAGCCGAUCAUUUUCCCGAGUGGCCGGUGUCUGGGUCGCAGGAGAACAUCCUGCGGACUGUCGCAAACUGCGGAGAGCUGUC
Molecule: non-coding RNA, 156 nt
Filed under: pig gut metagenome
Description: Lysine riboswitch
Rfam family: Lysine riboswitch aptamer
About the family: Riboswitches are metabolite binding domains within certain messenger RNAs that serve as precision sensors for their corresponding targets.
Source: RNAcentral